GACGAACGCUGGCGGCGUGCUUAACACAUGCAAGUCGAACGGAAAGGCCCUGCUUUUGUGGGGUGCUCGAGUGGCGAACGGGUGAGUAACACGUGAGUAACCUGCCCUUGACUUUUGGAUAACUUCAGGAAACUGGGGCUAAUACCGGAUAGGAGCUCCUGCUGCAUGGUGGGGGUUGGAAAGUUUCGGCGGUUGGGGAUGGACUCGCGGGUUAUCAGCUUGUUGGUGGGGUAGUGGCUUACCAAGGCUUUGACGGGUAGCCGGCCUGAGAGGGUGACCGGCCACAUUGGGACUGAGAUACGGCCCAGACUCCUACGGGAGGCAGCAGUGGGGAAUAUUGCACAAUGGGCGGAAGCCUGAUGCAGCAACGCCGCGUGCGGGAUGACGGCCUUCGGGUUGUAAACCGCUUUCGCCUGUGACGAAGCGUGAGUGACGGUAAUGGGUAAAGAAGCACCGGCUAACUACGUG
RNAcentral lists this ribosomal RNA (468 nucleotides) under uncultured bacterium. Its description in RNAcentral is "partial 16S ribosomal RNA". It matches the Rfam family "Bacterial small subunit ribosomal RNA", at positions 28 to 507 of the family's 1533-position model. The record is from RNAcentral.